RNAcentral lists this long non-coding RNA (544 nucleotides) under Helianthus annuus (common sunflower). The record is from RNAcentral. Lineage: Eukaryota; Viridiplantae; Streptophyta; Magnoliopsida; Asterales; Asteraceae.
AUGCCCGCUCAUUCCCACUUCCCCAUAGAUCCUGUCUUUUCAUUUCACAUUUCACAAAGCACAAACCGUCCUCUGCUUUCUUUCCGAUUUAGGGUUUCUUACUCAUCCCUGUCUUUCUUUCUCUCUCUCUCUCUACAAACCCAUUUGUGAAAGCGAAAAGUAGUGAUUGUUGGUAGAUGGAGUUCUGAUUUUUAUCCCCAGCCGACCUCUCUUUCCCCUCAAAUCGCACAACCCUGAGACGAUCGACCAUCACUACUGUUGCGUUUGAGAAGACCACUGCCGCCGCCGGAUGUACAGGUCGCCACCGCUAGCCUGAUGUCGUUUAUUUCAGAAGAUAGGGGUUGUAUUCUUAUUUUGUCGUUGUGAUUCUACCAUCAUUUACCUUUAACAAGGUGCAGACACUAAAAAUCGGAGUCUCUGUAGGUAGGCUAGGGUUUGGUAAGUGGAGAUUCGAGUAGAUGGAAUUUGAGAAAGGUUUGAUUUUAGAACACUAUUUUGAGUUUUGUUUCUUGUUGUUUUAGGUAUCAUAUGUUUUUUGAAGGCG